UUAAGUUCAGCGGGUAGUCCUACCUGAUUUGAGGUCAGACGACAUGAAAUUGUCCGAAGACGAUUGAAGAGCAUCCUUACACGCGAGACGCGGAACGGCGCCAGAAGUAGACUUAUCACACCGUUGUGACCGAUCUCGCGACGGAACGCUAAUGCAUUUCAAGACGAGCAGCUCGUUAAAAGGACUGCAACAUCCAAAUC
This 200-nucleotide unclassified non-coding RNA is filed under the name Ramaria sp. Its description in RNAcentral is "partial internal transcribed spacer 2". The record is from RNAcentral. Lineage: Eukaryota; Fungi; Basidiomycota; Agaricomycetes; Gomphales; Gomphaceae.